UACAGAGGUCUCAAGCGUUGUUCGGAUUCAUUGGGCGUAAAGGGUGUGUAGGUGGCGCCGUAAGUCGGGUGUGAAAUUUCGGAGCUUAACUCCGAAACUGCAUUCUAUACUGCGGUGCUUGAGGACUGGAGAGGAGACUGGAAUUCAUGGUGUAGCAGUGAAAUGCGUAGAUAUCGUAAGGAAGACCAGUGGCGAAGGCGGGUCUCUGGACAGUUCCUGACGCUGAGGCACGAAGGUCAGGGGAGCAAACGGG
Molecule: ribosomal RNA, 253 nt
Filed under: uncultured bacterium
Lineage: Bacteria
Description: partial 16S ribosomal RNA
Rfam family: Bacterial small subunit ribosomal RNA
Source: RNAcentral